This 447-nucleotide ribosomal RNA is filed under the name uncultured bacterium. RNAcentral describes it as "SSU rRNA". It matches the Rfam family "Bacterial small subunit ribosomal RNA", at positions 26 to 518 of the family's 1533-position model. The record is from RNAcentral.
AGAGCGAACGCUGGCGGCAGGCUUAACACAUGCAAGUCGAGCGGGCGUAGCAAUACGUCAGCGGCAGACGGGUGAGUAACGCGUGGGAACGUACCUUUUGGUUCGGAACAACACAGGGAAACUUGUGCUAAUACCGGAUAAGCCCUUACGGGGAAAGAUUUAUCGCCAAAAGAUCGGCCCGCGUCUGAUUAGCUAGUUGGUGAGGUAACGGCUCACCAAGGCGACGAUCAGUAGCUGGUCUGAGAGGAUGAUCAGCCACAUUGGGACUGAGACACGGCCCAAACUCCUACGGGAGGCAGCAGUGGGGAAUAUUGGACAAUGGGCGCAAGCCUGAUCCAGCCAUGCCGCGUGAGUGAUGAAGGCCCUAGGGUUGUAAAGCUCUUUGUGCGGGAAGAUAAUGACGGUACCGCAAGAAUAAGCCCCGGCUAACUUCGUGCCAGCAGCCGC